This 264-nucleotide ribosomal RNA is filed under the name uncultured bacterium. RNAcentral's name for it is "partial 16S ribosomal RNA". It matches the Rfam family "Bacterial small subunit ribosomal RNA", at positions 793 to 1055 of the family's 1533-position model. The record is from RNAcentral.
GUCCACGCUGUAAACGAUGAGUGCUAGACGUCGUGGGUAUUGACCCCCGCGGUGUCGAAGUUAACACGUUAAGCACUCCGCCUGGGGGAGUACGGUCGCAAGAUUAAAAACUCAAAAGGAAUUGACGGGGGCCCGCACAAGCGGUGGAGCAUGUGGUUUAAUUCGACGCAACGCGAAGAACCUUACCAGGGUUCGAAAGGCAGGAGACCGGUGUAGAGAUACACUUCCUUCGGGGCUGCUGUCUAGGUGCUGCAUGGCUGUCGU